This 253-nucleotide ribosomal RNA is filed under the name uncultured bacterium. Its description in RNAcentral is "partial 16S ribosomal RNA". It matches the Rfam family "Bacterial small subunit ribosomal RNA", at positions 524 to 776 of the family's 1533-position model. The record is from RNAcentral.
UACGUAGUGGGCUAGCGUUGUUCGGAAUUACUGGGCGUAAAGCGUGCGCAGGCGGUUCGGAAAGAGAGAUGUGAAAUCCCAGGGCUCAACCUUGGAACUGCAUUUUUAACUCCCGAGCUAGAGUAUGUCAGAGGGGGGUAGAAUUCCACGUGUAGCAGUGAAAUGCGUAGAGAUGUGGAGGAAUACCGAUGGCGAAGGCAGCACCCUGGGACAAUACUGACGCUCAGGCACGAAAGCGUGGGGAGCAAACAGG